UUAAGUUCAGCGGGUAUCCCUACCUGAUCCGAGGUCAACCAUAGAAAAUUGGGGGUUGAUGGCAAGCAUCCACCUGGACCCUGUAGCGAGAAGAGUUACUACGCUUAGAGCCAGAUGGCGCCGCCACUGAUUUUAAGGGCUGCCGGUACAGCAGGCCCCAACACCAAGCAGAGCUUGAGGGGUUAUAAUGACGCUCGAAC
RNAcentral lists this unclassified non-coding RNA (200 nucleotides) under Helotiales sp. RNAcentral's name for it is "partial internal transcribed spacer 2". Lineage: Eukaryota; Fungi; Ascomycota; Leotiomycetes; Helotiales. The record is from RNAcentral.